AGCAGCCGCGGUAAUUCCAGCUCCAAUAGCGUAUAUUAAAGUUGUUGCAGUUAAAAAGCUCGUAGUUGAAUUUCGGGAUCAGUACGCCGGUCGUGCCUUCGGUAUGUACUGACGUUACUGAUUUCUACCUUCUGACGAACCGUCAUGCCAUUAAUUUGGUGUGGCGGGGAAUCAGGACUGUUACUUUGAAAAAAUUAGAGUGUUUAAAGCAGGCUCGCGCUUGAAUACAUUAGCAUGGAAUAAUGAAAUAGGACGUUUGAUCUUAUUUUGUUGGUUUCUAGGAUCGACGUAAUGAUUAAUAGGGAUAGUUGGGGGCAUUAGUAUUCAAUUGUCAGAGGUGAAAUUCUUGGAUUUAUUGAAGACUAACUACUGCGAAAGCAUUUGCCAAGGAUGUUUUCAUUAAUCAAGAACGAAAGUUAGGGGAUCGAAGACGAUCAGAUACCGUCGUAG
Molecule: ribosomal RNA, 450 nt
Filed under: uncultured Glomeromycotina
Lineage: Eukaryota; Fungi; Glomeromycota
Description: SSU rRNA
Rfam family: Eukaryotic small subunit ribosomal RNA
Source: RNAcentral